This is a long non-coding RNA of Lontra canadensis (Northern American river otter), 371 nucleotides long. RefSeq lists it as uncharacterized. The transcript has 3 exons. Lineage: Eukaryota; Metazoa; Chordata; Mammalia; Carnivora; Mustelidae. The record is from RefSeq and is a predicted model, not a curated record.
CCAAUAUACUAACAAUAAUCAUCUCUGAAACAUGGGAUUUCAGGGAAAAAAUAACAUGAGACCCUAUAGUGAAAUGGAACAGCUAUAGAUUUUGAAGCUAGAGAGGACAGAUUGAACAGUGCUUCUGUGAGGACAUGGGAAAUCAAUUAUCUGCUUUAACCUGACUGGUCUCAUUUUGUAAAUUUUUAUGAGGAUUACAUAAGAGUAUGUAAAGAACAUGCCAUGUCAGAAUUUGUCAAGUCCUCAGGAUAAGAUGCUGUUUCAAAAUUGAUUAGUUCUCCGACACGCCCACUGGAAUCAUCCAACCUAUUGAAGAAGCAGAAUGGGAUGUGGAUUAUAGGGUUUCAGAUAACACCAAGUCCUUGUGAAAG